This 346-nucleotide ribosomal RNA is filed under the name Ecteinascidia environmental sample. Its description in RNAcentral is "SSU rRNA". It matches the Rfam family "Eukaryotic small subunit ribosomal RNA", at positions 20 to 382 of the family's 1831-position model. Lineage: Eukaryota; Metazoa; Chordata; Ascidiacea; Phlebobranchia; Perophoridae. The record is from RNAcentral.
GUAGUCAUAUGCUUGUCUCAAAGAUUAAGCCAUGCAUGUCUAAGUAUAAACACGUUAUACUGUGAAACUGCGAAUGGCUCAUUAAAUCAGUUAUAGUUUAUUUGAUGGUUUUUGCUACAUGGAUAACUGUGGUAAUUCUAGAGCUAAUACAUGCGUACAAGCCCCGACUUCUGGAAGGGGUGUAUUUAUUAGAUAAAAAUCAACACUGUUGGUGAAUCAUGAUAACUUCUCGGAUCGCAUGGCCUCGUGCUGGCGAUACUUCAUUCAAAUAUCUGCCCUAUCAACUGUCGAUGGUAGGAUAGAGGCCUACCAUGGUUGCAACGGGUAACGGGGAAUAACGGCGAAU